GGGAUUUUCAGUCAGGCCCAAAGUCCAGAAUGGAAUCAGGCACUUACCCACAGCGAAGCAGGAGUUAUAGAGUGGAGCCGCGGAUAGGUUAAAAAUCUCAGGCUAUUUAUCAGCUAACCUGCAAAGAAGUGUCGAACGGCGGCGGGCUGUUGAGUUAUCCCAACAGACCGCCGGCUGCAGGAGGAGCAGGAGGCCGAGGCUGCAACCCCCUGGGGGCAGGGCCCUGCCUUUGCACGUCCGGUUCAAUUUCAGGGGCUCGCUGUCGCACUAGGAUCUCAUCACGAUCCGCAUCCAGUUCCAGGGCCUCGGUGCCCAAAAGUCUCUAGUUCUGUCCUGAACCUGAAGUCACCUUGGAUUCCAGGAAUGUGAAGCCUUGCAGGUCACCCCUUGAUGAGAUCACCCUUAAGUGGAAGCAAUGUCCCUAUGUUGGGAACCAAGGAGCAACCAUCUCAUGGGAACUGGCUUGUCCUCUCUGCUGAUAAGGACUUUUCCAGAGUCGCCCUAUAGAAUGAAGACCAAGUAGACCACAGACUGAUGGAGACUGCUUAAUUAUGCAUGUGAUGUACAAUUUCUCCUUGCCCUAACCCUACAGCUUCUGUCGGGUCCCAGAAGACUUGGUGCUUCAUCUCUGUCUUCCCAACAUUGCUACAUCUGGUCAAAAUGCUUCCAUGAUUUUCCAUUAUUACUUUCCCACUGAUUUCCGGGGCUAAUGGACAGACCUGAUUUGUUGGGACUCCUGGAGUCCCGCCACUGGCCACUCUAGAGUUUAGUAAGUGAACUAAUACAUAAUGCACUUGUUACAAGGUGAUGUAACCAUCUGCUGCUUUUACUUUUACUCUGACAACUAGGUAAAGACCCAGAUAUUUAACAGGGAACUCCAAAUACCAGCAUAUGGAGUCUUAUCUUUGAGAAGAGAGCGAGGUGUUCGAGGUUACCCCUCUCCAUCUGGCUGGGUCCACAGAAGUAGAGUGAGUCCUGUCUGGCUGCCAGGUGACUGUCAAGAGGUCAUUUGCUCAUCUGUGGGGUGUUAUUAAUCGCCACAGAUCCAGCUCUGUUGUUCACUCAGCUGAGGUUUACAGAUUGCCCGGGCCCCCAGAGUUUGUGUUGUGAAAGAUCUCCAUCUGGGUUUUAGCCUCCAGCCCUCACUUACACAAUGCAGGUUUGACAUCCCUGGUCCUCCUGUCAAAAUUCCCCUGUCCACCACCCACCUCCAGAAACUCUUUGAAAUCACCUCUCUGCCGUGAGUCCCCCUCGUCAUUGCUGGAUUUGGGUCAUUUUUCAAGUGCUUUUACUAUUAUCUUCGUAUCAUCUUGGUUAGGAGAAAUCAAGCAUGUUUAAUCUGCUAUCUUUCAUCCAAUUCUUGUUUACUGUCUGGGUUGGUACAGUUCCAGGGUUCCACAUCUGAAGUCCGAGGCCUUUUGCAUGCUUUUCUUGAAGGUGAAGGUCCUGGAUACUUCUGAGGCAAGGUAGUCCUCCCCCAGGUGACACACUUUAGUUGAGAGCCCUUUAGAGAUUGUUGCCAAAUGUAACCCCCAACCCCCAGUCUUUCUGAAUUUGCAAUUAGCAGUGGAAAGGAUUUUAGGCAAGGGUUCAGGAACGAGGUUCCAGGUAAUGAUGGAAACCAUUUAUGAAUAAGAUGUAAUCACUGCCAAGCUCUGAAAUCCUUACGAGCAUGCCUUUUAGUGUGACUACUAACAUCUCAUUCCUCUGGGCCAGUGCAGGAAGUCAGUACGCACACUAGCUCCAGAAUGGAUGUGGGUUCUUCCUUUACAAUAGAGGAGUAAUUCCAUUCUGAAUAAGAGUCAUUCAUUGGCUUCUAAUUCACUGUUACCAUUGCGUUUACAAUACGAACAUGCUGAAUGAAAGAUAGUGGAAUUUGCGAGCAUUUAGGCAUUUUAAAAUGUUACUGGCAAUUGACUAUAACUUCCACAGAUGAAGAACAAACCCUCAACCAGCUAACCAGAAAUAACAGUAAAUUGGUAACCACAUCCCUAUUUAAGGGAUAUGAUAAUAGUUGUCCAUGUCUAUGGCCAUACUACCCUGAAUGUACCCGAUCUCAAUUGGUAAUAGUUGGCCAUGUUAAAGGAAAACCAUGUUAUAUUAUAAGAAAGACAUCAUUCUGGACAAUUUUCAGCAUUAGAUGUGCUUAGAGCUCAUCAAAGAGUCACAGGAAAGCAGAGGCAUAGGGCCCCUCUCCCCAGCUGGCACCCGGCACCUGAUGUUCUCAGAAUUCAAGAGUUAGAAUAUCGCCUGCAGCCUGCUACAUGAUGGAGCCCAUGAUCAGAAAAGGGGGCAGGAAACAGCCCCAGGAUGUCCAUCAGAUAAAGCUGUGCACCCUGAAUGAUAGGGUGAGGAUUUGGAAGGAGUGUCUUUGAAAACUGCAAGUAGUGUAAUUCUUUGGAGUACCAGGGAAGGGGACAGGGAAGUCCUGUGACAUGGACUAGAGAAACCAAUCUUGCGCUGAAUCAGCUCGCCAGCCAGAUUCACCCUUUCCUGAUGCUGCUUGUCUCUUUCUGCAGAAUGCUGUAUUAAAAAUAGUUGCACUUUCACAGACUGAGGGUCUUCUCAGUCACAUGUGCGUUGAUCACCAUUGAAUCAGAGCAGCAGUGACCAGUAUGCAUGUCAUCAAGAUGGGAUUUAAAGUGGAAAAUUGGUUACACAGAUGACAGAGAAUCAGAGACACUCAGAUUAGUGGCAGCAGGAGUCACUCCCAGUCUGUGUGACAGGAACAAUCAGAGUCUCCUGGGGUCACUGACAGCAGUUGGAGACGGGGCAGAUUUUCCUGACUGGAGCAUCCCAUAGUUAGAAUCAGUGGCACAUUCAAGGCCCAUAGGCUUGGCAAAAGACGUCUGGCCUUCCCCUCUCUCCCAUCCUCCAGCGGUUCUCAUGGACUGAUUCCCACAAGAGCCUCCCUAACUUGCAAGCCUGGGAAACCUGUUUGCAGGGGUGGGCACCUGUAAUGCAGAGCCAUUAGGAGAAGCAUGAAGAAUGGAUCUGAAAGCAAGUGGGCUAUGGCCUGUGCAUUGCAUUGCACACAUUAUGGACACUCCUUAGAUUAAAUGUCUAGUAAGACACUCUGCAUCAUAUAAAUAUGUGUACAUGUGUGCUUCUGCAGCUCCCUGCCUGCAGUCAAAUGAGCCAUAAACUGUUGCUAAUCUAGCUGUCAAUGACAUGAUAUUUUAAAAUGUAUAAGCCAGGAAGUUUAUUGACCAUCCAUCUUUGAGCAGAAAAUUAUUUCCAUCUUCUGGUUUUAUUUCCAGUCAUAACACUAUGAGUAUCUGGUCCCAGAUGCAUGGCUACCAUUCCCAUGACUGCAUAAACACCACACAACCCACACACAUACUGCUUCGUCUGUGUGCCCUUUAAACCAACGCCAUCUAAGCUUAACGACAUUUGGGGGCAGUUUUCACAAGAAGGUAAUGGAGUAACGUUCUGAAACCUGGCCUUCACAGGUGACAAAGGGCUGCUCCUUCUCUCUCUCCAAAAGCUGGUGGAGAAGUACCGAGCUGGCUAUUUCCCCUCACCCUUUCCACCUGGCAGGUGGCAGGAUAAAGCAUUGGUUGCAGACAGUGCCUUCUUAGAUUCUGAAAUGUAUAGGACUUGUGGAGAAUACUGGCGUCUGGCCUUCUUUAGCUACAAAGGAGGUGGGAAAGGCUGGGAGGCAGCGCUGGCAGUCUGCUGUCUCCAAAGUCUGAUGGUCCAGCAUUCAGAGAGCCAGGCUGUACACACCCCUGUGGGUACCGACUCACUUCUGACUUCUCUGAGUCCAAGGGUCUCAUGUCACUUUCCCUUUGAUCAAGAAGACUUUAAAGAAUGAGAAGAUGGAACCCCAAAGCCGUAGGUUGUGCUGGCUGUUGCAUCCUUGCCUUUUGCUGCAAGGAUGUUAGAGCUUGGAAGAGCAAAAGAAACCACAUGCGCAUCCUAAAUAAUGGUAACAACAUCGGGUUGGGGGGGGGAGAAAAGGAGACUAUGUAAUAAAUUAGAGGGGGUACACCUCCAGGCAAAUGAUUAGCCCUUAUUCCAGUGUUGUUAGGCCCCGUAGAGAAAAAGGUCUGCAUAGCAGCUGCUCAGACCAGCUAAAGCAGCCUCUGGAGUGACCUAGAUAGUCAAGUAUUCUGGAGGGCCCUGUGAUUUCAGCACUUAGCAGUGUUGGGAAGCCCCAGUAAGACAACAGGAGUUCCUGGCAGAGGCGUGGCUUUCCCAGCUAAGGAAUCUCAGAACAGUGGAGCCUCGCAGAGGGGAGACUAGACUCGGUAGAGGAAGCUCUAAACUGUGCUUGCAACAAACAGCAUGUGUCUGCAGUUGUUUGUGUGUAUGCACAAGCUCUUAUGUGGCAUAUUUUUUAUUUUCUCUUGUGUGUUAAUUAGGAGAGGAAUCGCUGGGUCCCGUGGAAAGUUUAACAUUCUGAAGAACUGCUAUGUCCUUUUCCCAACAAAUCCCACCAGCAGUGUAUGAACCUUCAUAUCUCUCCAUCCUCAUCAACAUUUGCUACUAUCUGCCCUUUCCAUUGCAGCCAUCAUAGAGGGAUAUGAUAUGCCAUUGUGAUUUUGAUUGGCACUUCCCUGGUGAUUAAUAAUUUGAGCAUCUUUUCAUAUGUUUGUUAACCACAUUAAAAUUUCAUUUAUUUUA
Peromyscus leucopus (white-footed mouse) is the source of this 4629-nucleotide long non-coding RNA. RefSeq lists it as uncharacterized. Lineage: Eukaryota; Metazoa; Chordata; Mammalia; Rodentia; Cricetidae. The record is from RefSeq and is a predicted model, not a curated record. The transcript has 2 exons.